CACCCAUCAGUGGGGGACGUCUGUGUGGAAGUGUUUCAUUCAAAUUUGGUCUCACAUUGGAUUCUAACUGUCUGCUACAUACAGAGGAACGGGUAUGAAGAGCUGUAAUAUGCUGGUGGCCGACCAUGUGACAUUUCCCAGCCCGGCCUUGUGCACCAACAAGAUAAGCAGAGAUAGGGAGGAAGCACGGAUCAGUGCAGUGUCAUCUUUAUCAUAGGAGCAUGUCCGCAUCAAUGCCGUGUCUGUUGUCUGUCGAACUGCGGCCCCUUCCUCCCAUUGUAAUCCUUGCACAAUGUCGACGGGCUACAAAGGUCAAAGUUACAGCAAGGGUUAUCUCCUCCUGAAUGAGUUCUAUUCAUGGCUAGAGAUGUCGGGGAAACAUACUUUUUUAAGUCACAAAGAAUCAUUAAUGUGUUACAGUGGUAGCUUUAUCUAAAUCUGUCAAGAGCUGCGCUGACACAGAACGGUGUGCCUUGCUGGGAUUACGGGGCCUGUGCUUGAUUUGGGAGGCUGUCACAGAGUUCAGCUUGUGUAUCUAUGUUGUUAGAGCUAAUACUGCCACCACACCACCGGUGGAAAAUGAUUUGAUUUGAAAGUCGUCUUCCAUUAUUUGGGGCUGAAUUGUGUUAUUGAGUUAAGUAAUCACAGACUAGACAGAACCAAGUGUUCAGGACAAGCGAUCAUCGCGCAUGCCGUUAUUUUCGUUGACCCGUUAAUAGGUGCAGGGCAGGUACUCAAUAACGGAUCAUCCUUGCUUGUUACAGACAGGGCGGUGAUUAAUGCUAUGUACCACCGUCAUACGACAAACGUAAAAGCAUGUAAACGGAUACUACGGUCAUGUUAAGUGAUUUCUAGCUGUUACAGACAAAUAAAUUGUGAUUUACUUACAAGCUGUUUUGGUGAUAAUAAAAAUGUCAUGCCCCUG
Long non-coding RNA from Ylistrum balloti, 925 nucleotides. RefSeq lists it as uncharacterized. NCBI's taxonomy places the organism in Eukaryota, Metazoa, Mollusca, Bivalvia, Pectinida, Pectinidae. The record is from RefSeq and is a predicted model, not a curated record. The transcript is spliced from 2 exons.